This 245-nucleotide small RNA is filed under the name Arabidopsis thaliana (thale cress). RNAcentral's name for it is "ATSL247820". The record is from RNAcentral. Lineage: Eukaryota; Viridiplantae; Streptophyta; Magnoliopsida; Brassicales; Brassicaceae.
GAGUGCACACUCCAACAACCACUAACCAUUCUGGAUUCUUGACCCUAACCGAGUCUUCUUGUGGGUCCCUCAGGGAUCCAACAUCCACACUAUUGGCCAGCUUGAUGUCAUCUUCUGUUCUUCGCCUGAUGAAGACGGGCUUUCCACGCCACUUGACUGUCACGGUAGUUCCUGGUUCUAUGCUCCCUAGGUCAACCUCAAGGGAUGCAAGGGCAAGGACAUCUUUACUUGCAGACAUGCUCACA